UGUGUAUGUGUAUGAUUGUGGGAUUUGCAUAGGAUAACGAACAAGGAAGGCUCAUUUUCCUCGGGAUUUUACACUAAAAUUGCAUAGCUAAAGUCAUGGUGGAUACAAUUAUGAAAAGCGUUUUGUUCUGUAUCGCCCGGUACGAUGUCAACAAAGGUUAAGGAAAUAUUGGUACGUCAGCAUCAAGGGUCGAGCGAAAGUGAUGCAUCCAUUAGAUUCGGAAAAUUCUAUUAAGUCUCUUUUGUUCAAAAUCAAAAAGUUUUCCAUUAGAGAAACCAAAAAUAAACUUACUGCGGAUAUGCAUUAUAAGCGUGCAGAAAUUCUUUCAUCUUCAUCUCAGGAUACAGGAGGAC
This is a long non-coding RNA of Folsomia candida, 353 nucleotides long. RefSeq lists it as uncharacterized. NCBI's taxonomy places the organism in Eukaryota, Metazoa, Arthropoda, Collembola, Entomobryomorpha, Isotomidae. The transcript has 3 exons. The record is from RefSeq and is a predicted model, not a curated record.